CACCGCGGUUAAACGGGAGGCCCAAGUUGAUAGUCUUCGGCGUAAAGAGUGGACCGGGUAAAUAUAAACUAAAGUCGAACGCCCUCUCACGCUGUGAUACGCGCUUAAAGGUCAGAAGUACAACUACGAAAGUGACUUUAAUAGCCCUAUACCCACGAAAGCUAAGAAA
This 169-nucleotide ribosomal RNA is filed under the name Thysanophrys chiltonae (longsnout flathead). RNAcentral's name for it is "partial 12S rRNA". Lineage: Eukaryota; Metazoa; Chordata; Actinopteri; Perciformes; Platycephalidae. The record is from RNAcentral.